GAUGAACGCUGGCGGCGUGCCUAAUACAUGCGAGUCGAGCGAACGGACGAGAAGCUUGCUUCUCUGAUGUUAGCGGCGGACGGGUGAGUAACACGUGGAUAACCUACCUAUAAGACUGGGAUAACUUCGGGAAACCGGAGCUAAUACCGGAUGAUAUUUUGAACCGCAUGGUUCAAAAGUGAAAGACGGUCUUGCUGUCACUUAUAGAUGGAUCCGCGCUGCAUUAGCUAGUUGGUAAGGUAACGGCUUACCAAGGCAACGAUGCAUAGCCGACCUGAGAGGGGGAUCGGCCACACGGGAACUGAGACACGGUCCAGACUCCUACGGGAGGCAGCAGUAGGGAAUCUUCCGCAAUGGGCGAAAGCCUGACGGAGCAACGCCGCGUGAGUGAUGAAGGUCUUCGGAUCGUAAAACUCUGUUAUUAGGGAAGAACAUAUGUGUAAGUAACUGUGCACAUCUUGACGGUACCUAAUCAGAAAGCCACGGCUAACUACGUG
This 497-nucleotide ribosomal RNA is filed under the name uncultured bacterium. RNAcentral's name for it is "partial 16S ribosomal RNA". It matches the Rfam family "Bacterial small subunit ribosomal RNA", at positions 28 to 507 of the family's 1533-position model. The record is from RNAcentral.